RNAcentral lists this long non-coding RNA (700 nucleotides) under Chinchilla lanigera (long-tailed chinchilla). RNAcentral describes it as "lncRNA (ENSCLAG00000028487.1)". The record is from RNAcentral. Lineage: Eukaryota; Metazoa; Chordata; Mammalia; Rodentia; Chinchillidae.
ACAUAGUUGGCUUCCUGAGGGGAGACUCUGAAGGUCAAUCUUCCUGGAGACAGGAUAGGCCCAGCCAGGUCUAAUCUGCCGAAGGAUAGGGAAAGGUUUUCUGGUGAUUCAGUUGUUACAUCUCAGGAAUCCAGUAUGAAUUCUGGUCUGGUUUCCAGAAGCCUAGCACAUAAGGCUUCUGGAAUGUCCAGAAUGUCCAGUCUCACCAUGAAGAAUGUCCAGUCCCAUCAUAAAGAACACAAGAACCAUGAUCCACCUGAGCCAGCUGGGAUGAAGUAAAAGGUAGGGAGGUGGGCAAGAAGCAGAGGAGAGCAACCAUGAGAACAGAGAGACCAGCAAAGAACCUGCAGAGACCUUGGCCCUGGCCAGGCUGCAGUCCCUCUGGAGUUCCAUUCUCAGAAGGAGCAGACAGGACAUGAGGAACCCUGGGGGAACUGCCCUCUUCUGUGAGCCUAGCUGGCAGAGGCCUGGAGCCAGGUCCUGGGUACAUUUGGUGCCAGCAGAGGGCAGGUUGUGGACACUCAGCCACAUGGCUCCCUCAGAGCACUGCUAUUCAGCAAGAUGGGACACCCAUUCCUGGUGAGAUUUGUGGAAACCAGAACAAUGUCACUUACAUCAUUUUGGUAUUUUCCAUUUCAUAAUAAAAACAUGUAUUUAACUGCCUAGUAUACCCCAUCUAAUUUGUAAUUUAUUAAACUUC